This 236-nucleotide long non-coding RNA is filed under the name Elaeis guineensis (African oil palm). Its description in RNAcentral is "long non-coding RNA (EGUI_LNC008419)". Lineage: Eukaryota; Viridiplantae; Streptophyta; Magnoliopsida; Arecales; Arecaceae. The record is from RNAcentral.
UGGGCACUAAAUGUUAGAAAAACUCUGCUCGGCUGUCAUACCCUUGCUCAGUCUAGGGGGAGGGAUGUGACACUUCAACUACUAGCAUGAUUUGUGUGUAAGUAAUUGUUGAACUUUUUUUUUACAUAAUCAGCUUUCACCACUCACAGUUAUGCUUAGAGUUGGCUAAACUAUUACUUAGAGUGUUAGAAUAAUAGGAAGAAGCUUUGCAAUAAAAUUAGAAAUAUCUAAUACUC